This 1184-nucleotide ribosomal RNA is filed under the name Salmonella enterica. RNAcentral's name for it is "partial 23S ribosomal RNA". It matches the Rfam family "Bacterial large subunit ribosomal RNA", at positions 1 to 1218 of the family's 2925-position model. Lineage: Bacteria; Pseudomonadati; Pseudomonadota; Gammaproteobacteria; Enterobacterales; Enterobacteriaceae. RNAcentral also lists the same sequence under 1 other name. The record is from RNAcentral.
GGGUUGUGAGGUUAAGCGACUAAGCGUACACGGUGGAUGCCCUGGCAGUCAGAGGCGAUGAAGGGCGUACUAAUCUGCGAUAAGCGCCGGUAAGGUGAUAUGAACCGUUAUAACCGGCGAUACCCGAAUGGGGAAACCCAGUGUGAUUCGUCACACUAUCAUUAACUGAAUCCAUAGGUUAAUGAGGCGAACCGGGGGAACUGAAACAUCUAAGUACCCCGAGGAAAAGAAAUCAACCGAGAUUCCCCCAGUAGCGGCGAGCGAACGGGGAGGAGCCCAGAGCCUGAAUCAGCAUGUGUGUUAGUGGAAGCGUCUGGAAAGGCGCGCGAUACAGGGUGACAGCCCCGUACACAAAAGCGCAUGUGCUGUGAGCUCGAUGAGUAGGGCGGGACACGUGGUAUCCUGUCUGAAUAUGGGGGGACCAUCCUCCAAGGCUAAAUACUCCUGACUGACCGAUAGUGAACCAGUACCGUGAGGGAAAGGCGAAAAGAACCCCGGCGAGGGGAGUGAAAAAGAACCUGAAACCGUGUACGUACAAGCAGUGGGAGCACCCUUUGGGUGUGACUGCGUACCUUUUGUAUAAUGGGUCAGCGACUUAUAUUCUGUAGCAAGGUUAACCGAAUAGGGGAGCCGGAGGGAAACCGAGUCUUAACCGGGCGUUAAGUUGCAGGGUAUAGACCCGAAACCCGGUGAUCUAGCCAUGGGCAGGUUGAAGGUUGGGUAACACUAACUGGAGGACCGAACCGACUAAUGUUGAAAAAUUAGCGGAUGACCUGUGGCUGGGGGUGAAAGGCCAAUCAAACCGGGAGAUAGCUGGUUCUCCCCGAAAGCUAUUUAGGUAGCGCCUCGUGAAUUCAUCUCCGGGGGUAGAGCACUGUUUCGGCUAGGGGGCCAUCCCGGCUUACCAACCCGAUGCAAACUGCGAAUACCGGAGAAUGUUAUCACGGGAGACACACGGCGGGUGCUAACGUCCGUCGUGAAGAGGGAAACAACCCAGACCGCCAGCUAAGGUCCCAAAGUCAUGGUUAAGUGGGAAACGAUGUGGGAAGGCCCAGACAGCCAGGAUGUUGGCUUAGAAGCAGCCAUCAUUUAAAGAAAGCGUAAUAGCUCACUGGUCGAGUCGGCCUGCGCGGAAGAUGUAACGGGGCUAAACCAUGCACCGAAGCUGCGGCAGCGACACUGUG